Pelobates cultripes (western spadefoot toad) is the source of this 236-nucleotide non-coding RNA. NCBI's taxonomy places the organism in Eukaryota, Metazoa, Chordata, Amphibia, Anura, Pelobatidae. The record is from the annotation of a GenBank genome assembly.
CUGGUUUUAUUUUGGUUCUGAACUCGUUCCAUUCCCUCCUUCCUUCAUUAAGGGGCUAUGUAUGGGCAGGAGGCGAUUGCCCAUCUUUUGGAUUCCAGAUGGCCACGUGCCUAUUGUAUGACCAGUAAAUAGCGCUCUAAUGAUAACACGGUCUCGCUAGCCCCGCGGGGUUCCAUGUUGGUGGAGCCCAUUACCCGUUCCAUCGUGCAGCACACAGAGCGGGUUUAGCACUCGCU